AUGAGCCCUGCGCUGAGCCUGCUGCUGUCCCUGGCUGGCUGCACCCUGCUUCAGGGUGAGUCCUGCACUGGGCAGUGGCACCACAAAGUGGCCCCACGGGUGGGAAAAACCACGGGGACAGCUCUUAGACAAAAAAAAUACACCUGCGGGGAGGUUGGGUGCAGAGGGUGCUUGGUCAAAGCGGGGGGACCCACGCAAUGUGGCCAAGGAGGACGGGGCACGCACAUGCUGGGAUAUGCAAAGCAGGGUGACAGAGCCUCACGCCCCCCGCUCCCCCCAGGCGUGCCGUUCCCACCCCAGGACGUGAGGCUGGAGGCCCAAAACUUCCACGUGCAGCUGCGGUGGGAGCCGGACCCGCGCACCCCUGGCGAGGCCACGUACCAGGUGGAGUGGAAGAGGCGAACCUCCAACUGGACCAGGGCAGACGCCUCCUGGGGGAACCACACCAGCUCACCCUGGGUGUGCCAGCUGUAUUUCGACGAGAUCUACGAUAUCUACUGGGCGAGAGUGAGAGCCGCGGAGGACGGCGAGCUGUCCCCGUGGGUCUAUUCCAGCGAGCUGCAGCCAUACAGAGACACAAUUGUGGGCCCCCCCAGGCUGUCCUGGCUGUUCCAGGGCCACAUCCUCAGCAUCAAUGUCACCGUGCCGCUCACGCCGUUCAGGGGCAAGAAGGGCUCCUACAAGCCAGUCAACAAAGUGCUGCUGAAGCUGUGGUACUGGCUGCACCUCUACGACGGGGACGUGCUCACCCAGCAAGUGCCCUGCAGGCGGAGCAUGAGAGGAGCACCGUGCACCUUGAGGCACCUGAAGCCGAGCACUCGGUACUGCGUCCGCACGGUGGCAGUGGGCAUGGCCCCCGAGCGGAGCCGGGAGGCUGAGCAGUGCCUGGUGACCCCGGCAGCUCCUGCAGGUGAGAGCUCGCUGCGUCCUCAUCACAACCCACCUGCAUCGCGGGCACGCGGCAGGGUGCAGGUCANNNNNNNNNNNNNNNNNNNNCGGGCACGCGGCAGGGUGCGGGUCGCACACCCUGGGCUGAUCUGCUCAGGGCUGGACCCAUCUCGGGGGGAUGCUACCUGUCGUGGGAGCUGCUGGGGGUGCCAACCGGUGUCCCUCCACCCCACAACCCAUGGGGACUGUCCCAGCAGGCUUCCCCUGGGUCCUCCUCGCCGCGCUGAAUGCCACCUUCCUGCUGCUGAGCGUGGCCGGACUCUGCCUGGUCCAUCUGUACAUCUUCCCAAAACCCUCGGAGAUGCGCCUCCCGAAAACACUCGCCCCUCUGGACGGGAGCAGCGGGGUGCCCACCCUCGCGCUGCGGGAGGACGCGCUCGCCCUGCUGCUGCCAGCUGGCAAGGAGCCGGCAGCGCCUGGAGCCCCGCUGCAGCCCAGGGCAAGGCGUCCCCAGGAGACGAGUGGUUACUGCCCCAACGGGUUUGGGACGGACCGCCCCGAGGGAUGGGACACAUCCUGCACCCACAGCCAGCCCGGGCAGGCACUUGGCACCUGGGCAUCGUUGCGGCUGGAGGAGGAGGAGGAGGAACACGACGGGGAUGCUGCGACAGCUUCCACUGACAGCAGCACAGGAGAUGGGGACUGUGGGACAUCCGAGACGUGGCUCCCCCUGCACCUCCAGCUUUAUUCCAAGUGCCCGUGGCCAUCUCCAGGAGCGGGUGUCAGCCUUCCUCCCUCCCUGCAAACCAUCAGCUUCAGCCCCAGGGAGCUGCGGGAGAGCGAGGCAGGGUGCUGGGUACCGCUCAGCUCCGUGAAGCUGCUGGCCAGCAAGGAGGAGGACGAGGGGCAGCUCCACCAUGCUGUCCACCCCCCGAGGACCGAGCUUCAGCCGGGUGACAGUGCCAUGCAGCAGGGUGACACGGGGCGGGCAGCACCAGGCUGCCCCUGCCCAGUGCCCCCAGUGCCCCCCGGCACGUCCCACAUGGGCACGCUCCAUGGACAGGUGGCAGCAACAUCUUCAGAGCACCCCUCUGUGGUUUUGGGUGCUUCUGAGGCAAAAUGUGAGGAAUAG
This is a long non-coding RNA of Anser cygnoides (Swan goose), 2020 nucleotides long. Lineage: Eukaryota; Metazoa; Chordata; Aves; Anseriformes; Anatidae. The record is from Ensembl.